AGAGUUUGAUCAUGGCUCAGAUUGAACGCUGGCGGCAGGCCUAACACAUGCAAGUCGAGCGGUAGCACAGAGAGCUUGCUCUCGGGUGACGAGCGGCGGACGGGUGAGUAAUGUCUGGGAAACUGCCUGAUGGAGGGGGAUAACUACUGGAAACGGUAGCUAAUACCGCAUAACGUCGCAAGACCAAAGUGGGGACCUUCGGGCCUCAUGCCAUCAGAUGUGCCCAGAUGGGAUUAGCUAGUAGGUGGGGUAAUGGCUCACCUAGGCGACGAUCCCUAGCUGGUCUGAGAGGAUGACCAGCCACACUGGAACUGAGACACGGUCCAGACUCCUACGGGAGGCAGCAGUGGGGAAUAUUGCACAAUGGGCGCAAGCCUGAUGCAGCCAUGCCGCGUGUGUGAAGAAGGCCUUCGGGUUGUAAAGCACUUUCAGCGGGGAGGAAGGCGGUGAGGUUAAUAACCUCAUCGAUUGACGUUACCCGCAGAAGAAGCACCGGCUAACUCCGUGCCAGCAGCCGCGGUAAUACGGAGGGUGCAAGCGUUAAUCGGAAUUACUGGGCGUAAAGCGCACGCAGGCGGUCUGUCAAGUCGGAUGUGAAAUCCCCGGGCUCAACCUGGGAACUGCAUUCGAAACUGGCAGGCUAGAGUCUUGUAGAGGGGGGUAGAAUUCCAGGUGUAGCGGUGAAAUGCGUAGAGAUCUGGAGGAAUACCGGUGGCGAAGGCGGCCCCCUGGACAAAGACUGACGCUCAGGUGCGAAAGCGUGGGGAGCAAACAGGAUUAGAUACCCUGGUAGUCCACGCCGUAAACGAUGUCGAUUUGGAGGUUGUGCCCUUGAGGCGUGGCUUCCGGAGCUAACGCGUUAAAUCGACCGCCUGGGGAGUACGGCCGCAAGGUUAAAACUCAAAUGAAUUGACGGGGGCCCGCACAAGCGGUGGAGCAUGUGGUUUAAUUCGAUGCAACGCGAAGAACCUUACCUGGUCUUGACAUCCACAGAACUUUCCAGAGAUGGAUUGGUGCCUUCGGGAACUGUGAGACAGGUGCUGCAUGGCUGUCGUCAGCUCGUGUUGUGAAAUGUUGGGUUAAGUCCCGCAACGAGCGCAACCCUUAUCCUUUGUUGCCAGCGGUUCGGCCGGGAACUCAAAGGAGACUGCCAGUGAUAAACUGGAGGAAGGUGGGGAUGACGUCAAGUCAUCAUGGCCCUUACGACCAGGGCUACACACGUGCUACAAUGGCAUAUACAAAGAGAAGCGACCUCGCGAGAGCAAGCGGACCUCAUAAAGUAUGUCGUAGUCCGGAUUGGAGUCUGCAACUCGACUCCAUGAAGUCGGAAUCGCUAGUAAUCGUAGAUCAGAAUGCUACGGUGAAUACGUUCCCGGGCCUUGUACACACCGCCCGUCACACCAUGGGAGUGGGUUGCAAAAGAAGUAGGUAGCUUAACCUUCGGGAGGGCGCUUACCACUUUGUGAUUCAUGACUGGGGUGAAGUCGUAACAAGGUAACCGUAGGGGAACCUGCGGUUGGAUCACCU
This 1527-nucleotide ribosomal RNA is filed under the name Klebsiella pneumoniae. RNAcentral's name for it is "bacterial SSU rRNA". It matches the Rfam family "Bacterial small subunit ribosomal RNA". Lineage: Bacteria; Pseudomonadati; Pseudomonadota; Gammaproteobacteria; Enterobacterales; Enterobacteriaceae. The record is from RNAcentral.